RNAcentral lists this ribosomal RNA (565 nucleotides) under uncultured bacterium. RNAcentral describes it as "partial 16S ribosomal RNA". It matches the Rfam family "Bacterial small subunit ribosomal RNA", at positions 355 to 912 of the family's 1533-position model. The record is from RNAcentral.
UGGGGAAUUUUUGGACAAUGGGCGAAAGCCUGAUCCAGCAAUGCCGCGUGUGUGAAGAAGGCCUUCGGGUUGUAAAGCACUUUUGUCCGGAAAGAAAUCCUUGGCUCUAAUACAGUCGGGGGAUGACGGUACCGGAAGAAUAAGCACCGGCUAACUACGUGCCAGCAGCCGCGGUAAUACGUAGGGUGCAAGCGUUAAUCGGAAUUACUGGGCGUAAAGCGUGCGCAGGCGGUUUGCUAAGACCGAUGUGAAAUCCCCGGGCUCAACCUGGGAACUGCAUUGGUGACUGGCAGGCUAGAGUAUGGCAGAGGGGGGUAGAAUUCCACGUGUAGCAGUGAAAUGCGUAGAGAUGUGGAGGAAUACCGAUGGCGAAGGCAGCCCCCUGGGCCAAUACUGACGCUCAUGCACGAAAGCGUGGGGAGCAAACAGGAUUAGAUACCCUGGUAGUCCACGCCCUAAACGAUGUCAACUAGUUGUUGGGGAUUCAUUUCCUUAGUAACGUAGCUAACGCGUGAAGUUGACCGCCUGGGGAGUACGGUCGCAAGAUUAAAACUCAAAUGAAUUG